This is a long non-coding RNA of Colossoma macropomum (tambaqui), 607 nucleotides long. RefSeq lists it as uncharacterized. The record is from RefSeq and is a predicted model, not a curated record. NCBI's taxonomy places the organism in Eukaryota, Metazoa, Chordata, Actinopteri, Characiformes, Serrasalmidae. The transcript has 3 exons.
GUCAGAGAAAGAUUUGUCUGUUUCUGAGGGUGGCCAGGGUUGUUUUUGGAGCUUUGAUUUUAGCAAUGGCAGAAACAAUCUGGAAGCCUCUGUGGAUUUUGUUACUGGUGCUGAGUUAUGCUGUGCAUGGUGAUGCAGGAAGUGUUUACAGACAUUAUUGUACAUAAGAUGGUGCUCAGGAUGGGAGCACUGAGAGGACUACUGUUCAGGCAAACGCUGAUUCUGGAUUUGGGCCUAGUCAAGAACUUUAUUUUCAGGAAACCCAAGACUCCUCGGAAACUGAGGCCUUUGAUUCUAGUGUGACUGAUGUGGGCUCAAGUGACUCAAGGGCAUUCAGCUUUCAGGAAUCUACCUACACCUCAAGCUUUCAGCCAUUAACUAGAGUUCCUAAGCCUGCCUUAAGCACCUCCUUAGAACAAGCCUCAGGCCAGUCUGUCCAGACAGCAUACCAGCAGGCAGCUUCAGCCCAGCCUGUGCAGGGUAGUUCUCCAUCCAGCUUUGUUUCUCAAAAUAUCGGACUUGAUUCUAGUGCAGCAACGGGAACAGGCUCAAGGGGGUCCUUCUUCACAUCCAGCUUUAAGCCCUCUGCUAGCACUUCAAAGCCAGU